GAUGAACGCUGGCGGCGUGCCUAAUACAUGCAAGUAGAACGCUGAAGGAGGAGCUUGCUCUUCUGGAUGAGUUGCGAACGGGUGAGUAACGCGUAGGUAACCUGCCUGGUAGCGGGGGAUAACUAUUGGAAACGAUAGCUAAUACCGCAUGACAACAGUUAUUGCAUGAUAACUGUUUAAAAGGGGCAACUGCUCCACUACCAGAUGGACCUGCGUUGUAUUAGCUAGUUGGUGAGGUAACGGCUCACCAAGGCGACGAUACAUAGCCGACCUGAGAGGGGGAUCGGCCCCACUGGGACUGGGACACGGCCCAGACCCCUAAGGGAGGCAGCAGUAGGGAAUCUUCGGCAAUGGACGGAAGUCUGACCGAGCAACGCCGCGUGAGUGAAGAAGGUUUUCGGAUCGUAAAGCUCUGUUGUAAGAGAAGAACGAGUGUGAGAGUGGAAAGUUCACACUGUGACGGUAUCUUACCAGAAAGGGACGGCUAACUACGUG
Molecule: ribosomal RNA, 495 nt
Filed under: uncultured bacterium
Lineage: Bacteria
Description: partial 16S ribosomal RNA
Rfam family: Bacterial small subunit ribosomal RNA
Source: RNAcentral